RNAcentral lists this long non-coding RNA (3643 nucleotides) under Pan paniscus (pygmy chimpanzee). Its description in RNAcentral is "lncRNA (ENSPPAG00000044552.1)". Lineage: Eukaryota; Metazoa; Chordata; Mammalia; Primates; Hominidae. The record is from RNAcentral.
UUUUCUUGUUCCCAGGAGGUGAUCAGAGUUAGGAAUUACACUUACUGACCUGGACCUCGCGUUUUUGCGGAGACGCGGAAACAAGAUGUGUGCAGUCCGUCUGUCCAAUGAUUAGCCAGCCGACCUGGAGAGGGCCCUGGAAGGUGCCCAAAGGCAAGUCCGGUUCCGUCCCUCCUAGGGUCCAGGACAGCCCGCGCCGCGCGGGCCGGCAGCCGGAGCAGUCAGAGCGGCUGGGCGGUUGGCGCUGCCGGGUCUGCUGCCGACCUCUCAGGCCAAGCGCGCCUGGGCACCGCACUCACUCGCGGGGUGGGCGGGUGAAGGUGGGAGGAUCAGAGAUGGGAGCGUGGGGAGGGGGGCAAACCCCACCCUUAAACACAAGAAAACAGGUGCAGAGGCUGCGGGCGAUGGUCCUGCAGGGGAGGGGACUGGAGGAGAAGUUUUGGUGGCGAGGGAGCAGGAACAGUGUCCAGGGUCUCUCAGCCGCCUCCCGGGCUUGCAAGCCCGCUCAGCCAGACCUUACCCAGAGGGGCGCCCCCUCGCGGGUCCCCAGCCACCACCUGCAGCUGCUGCUGUCACCUGCUGUGCCACCCCCAAGUUUGAUACUCUGGGCGUUUGCGCCACCCCUACCUCCCUUCCCUUCCACGAAUCUCUCCCUUUGCUCUCUAACCCCCAGUUCCGCAAGAGAUGGCCCGGCGAAGACAGACCUCCUGGACUUGAGGCCGACUUCACCAAAUCCGCCCCGGGAAAAGGCGAGGGCAAAGGCGGGGCGGACAGACCCAGCUGCGGCUGAGGGACUGAGGUCCCUAGCAAGGCAGGAGCAGAGAUGGGGAGCUGGAUCCGCGCAGAACCCCGGAAAAGCGCCAGCAGGAUUGCACCGAGAACAAAUCCUCCGCACCCUCGCCCAGGGCUGGGGCGCAGUGCGCUGGUGCUCCUCUAGCUGGGCGGUCCCUGUGCUCCAAACAAGAAGGUAAAGCGAGUUCAGAUCCUGCUGCCCAUGAUCAGCAAUUUCCCUAACAGGUGUCUGCAGACAGUUUAUAAGUUGAGUAGUGCAGAUUCAGACUCGAUAGCCAGGAACCUGUGUAGUGAGCUCUGGCUCAGGUUAAAAGCUAGGAUAGGGAUAGGAUAGGAAAGCUAUGGGACACGAAUAAAACACAAUCUCUCUCUCUCCAGAUAGCUGACUUCCGGAUCCUUCACUCUUUGAUCCUGACCCAAGCCACUCGUGCCACUAGGAGCGCAUGCCUAUGGAAUACUCGCUCCUGUCUCCUUGUGGUGAAGCCUUCCGCUAAUGCCCAGAGCCUCCCAGGCUGGAUUAGUGGGUAGGAGCAAAACAGGAUAGUGGAGACAAUCAGCAGAGCAGCAGCGUCUAUUUCCUCGGGAUUCCUCCCAGGAACCCUAUUCGAAGCCAUUCCUUCUAAAAGUUUGCAGCCAGUCUCUCUUUCCUUUGUUGGUUUUAAGAGGAGGCAGUAGAGCUACCUACAUACAAAAACGAAAGCCUGAUACUGGUAACCUAAGUCUUUACUUAACCAUCCUCUUCGGAGGCUUUGCACACAUUACUUUUCCUCUAUGCAUUGUCAUUUCUGAAAUAAGGAUGGUCAUACUGGUGUGCUUGGAAUUUCUCUGAAAUAUACUCCUAAAAGAUUAGAUUAAGAUUAGAUUCCGCUACUCUAAAAUGAAAAAAUAUAUUUAUCUGUUUAAAAAGGUAAUACAUAUUCUCCAAGAUGUUAAUUAAAGGCUUCUCUCAAAUGGAUUGGAUUUUCAGUUCCUUCAGGGUUUUCCACACCCUAAUAGUAUUGCAUUUGUAAGGCAUUUUUACAGUGUAACCUGAAAUUAAUCUUCAGUUAAUAUAGAAUUAUGCCCACAGGAGUAUUGGAAUUCUUUAUAAAACAAAGCAGCCUGGGCUUUUCAAAUACCUAGAAACAAAGGUAAACAGAAAUGGAAAUGUUUAACAUGUUCUACACAGUUCCACUUAAAGUCUUUUAGUAGUUGUUUUUGUUUUGUUUUGUUUUGUUUGUUUUUUCCUUAAGAAAGUACUCUUUGCCCAAAUAUGUGUUAUGUGUGACAGGUUCCAUUCUUCUCAAUAUAUCUGCAUUGGUGAAGAAUGAACCAUAUACCAAUAAGUUAUAACUUUAAAAGAGUAGAAAUGGAUUUAAACAAUGACCACAAAAACAAAUCAAAUAUCCAGCAAAACAGAUGAGUGUUGUCUUUUAGGGCAAUUGCUUUGGAAAAUUCAACUGAUUUCACUGACAUUGAUUGCACAAAACACAUUUUAUCUCCUUUGAAAUUGCCUUUCAGAAGCGUAUUAGCAGCCAUAACCAACUAUUUGCCUCACUCUCUUAUAGACGUGUGUUUGUCUUAGUAGAUUCAUAUAGUUCCACAGACAUCUAGUCAGCAACCUCAAAAGAGUAAAUGGUCUCUAUGAUUAAUGUCCUUUAAUAAAGUUCAGAAUUGGAUGAGAAACUGAUAAACUGAAAUGAAAGUCACUUCAUAGUGUAUCAUAUUAUCAAGGAGAGCUGUGGGAAUUAGCUUAUGACACUUUUGUGCAUCACAGUCUAAUUCAUAUCCUUAAAUGUGCAUACAUAUCCUGUGUAUUGUAGUAACAAUGAACCACUCUGAUGAAUGUCCAUAAACCCAGUUGUGACACUGACAGGAGUUUGGGAGUUUGUGGAAGUGGUGGUGAAAUAUCGAUUAAUCCAAAUUGAAAUAGGACAAGAUUAUUGAUGCUUGAUUUCUUUUGUAUCAAAUCAUUUAGUUGCUCAGGAAAUUCUAACCAGAAUAUGUGCUGUGACUGCUCUUCAAAUAGACAACAGACUCAAACUCAGAUGCCUGCAUGGUUAGGGCCAAUGACAUAAAUGGACCAGCAUGCUAGGUUGUAGGAGAGAGUGGAAAAUGUUGAUUGCCAUAACACCUUGAAGAGCACAAAAGCACAUGCUAUAGCUAAAUGGGGAGAUUGCUUCUCAGAUUACACUCAGCUGGCCUGCAAAAAUCUUGAUUCAGUAUUCUCAGAUACGAUUUUUAAGAGAAGCAAAAUCCAUAUUGUUAAAAAUCUUCUGAAUUUUAAAUAAACCAAAUUAAUUUUUAAAAAUCCAAAACUCCUAGUGGACAGGCCAAAAUAAAUAAGAAAUCAUAGAUAGAUAGAUAGAUAGAUAGAUAGAUAGAUAGAUAGAUAGAUGAUAGAUAGAUAGAUAGAUAGAUAGAUAGAUAGAUAGAUAGAUAGCAGCCUGACUCAUCAUGGGCCUCCAAUAUUGUAACCUGUUACAUUAAUAUUUGAUGUCUGACAAAUCUCCUUAAAUAUUUAAAACAUAGUUCUACUACCAUUUCCCCUACCCCAUAGACCAUUUCUCAAUGCACAGAAAUACAAAAGGAAUACAGCCAAAGAUUAGUUGCCAAAUAAGUAAUUUUCUUUUCCAUUUCUGGUUGAAUAGAUAUUCCCAAGGAGACUCUGAAGUAAGAGAUUUGUUGAAUAACUGAACAAUCCAAAUAUUUUAGAUAGCUAGAUGAAAUUUCAGAAAAGCUCUCCAUUAAAAAAGUUCAAUAAUAUCAGUAUUGAGGACCACUUGUGAUACAUACUUAUUAGAUAAAGAAAAUCAUGAUACAGAUUUCCAUCAUUGUAAUUUCAUUUUAACAGCAAAGAUGCUUCCCCCAU